AUAGUUUAUACCGCUAAUAAAUAACAUUUAUUAUAUUAACGCUAGGUACUCAGUAGGGGUAGGCAUAGUUAUACACGUGUACCGUGCAUGCAUCUACGCAUCAUAAUUUAUUUGUACGUAGGUAGAUAUAUAUUCGCGUUAAUAAGUACUUAUUUAAUCCGCGUAACGUGUGGGUAUAUUCUGCUUUCCAUUGCAUCGCACCGCGUACUUCGUUAUAUUUCUUUGCUCACUUCGGUACCUAUUUCAUUUUAAAUCAUGUCUAACGACAAGUUAACACUUUUAAACGCAAAGAAGGAAUGCAUGUAUAUGCGCAUGCAAUCUUUAGCUGACAAAUCUAAUGAUUUGUCGAUCGAAUUAGUUAGGGAAGAAUUUCUAUGUGAGUUGGAGUUAAUUGAUAAAUUGAGGUCUGACUUCGAAAGUGUUUUAGAUGAAAUAAAUAUUAUACAAUUAAAAUUAAAACCUACGCACGUUGUUAAUUAUCAGUCACUAAUUGCCUUCGAUGACUUGUACAGUCGAGUAAAACGCGCCGAGAAGAAAUUAUGUACGACAACUCAACCUGAUGUUAAGUACAGCAAUAAAAUAAAAUCUAAAUUAGCUCGUAUUGAAUUGCCCGAAUUUACCGGUGAUGUUAAAGCAUGGCCGUUGUUUUAUUCCACAUUUAAAAGCAUGGUUCACAACAAUCCCACGCUAGACGAUUCAGAUAAAUUGCAUUAUUUAACAUGUAAACUUAAGGGCAAGGCGCAGGCCGUAUUUAUUGGUAUAAGUCCAUGCGCUGAGAAUUACACACUUAUUUUAAACGCAUUAAUUAGUAAAUACGAAGAUAAACGGCUCCUCGCUAGUUCGUAUUUAGAUCAGAUAUUUGAACUCAAACCAUUUCAUUCCGCAACUGUCAAUAACCUUGAACAGUUUCUCGAUAAAUUCGCAACUUCAGUUUCCGCAUUAAAGAAUUUAAAAUUCGAUAGUCUUUCAGAUCUAAUAUUUUUAUAUAUGGCUUUAAAGAAAUUAGAUAAAGAAACCGCACACGCUUUCGAGUUAGACAACAGGGGCUCCGCUAUUCCACGUUUUGAUUCCUUGGUGUCAUUUGUUCGCGAUCAAACCAAAAUAUUGCAAAAUACUGUCAAAUCAGAAAAUGUAAAGAAGAGUUUGGACCGUCGGACAGAUGCGCCAUCGAAGUCGCUCAAGUCAACGCAUACCUACCUUAAUACCGCGUCAGAAAUUCCGCAGUCUAAAUGUCCUUUAUGCAAUGUAUCGCACGAACAUUUAUAUAAAUGUCCGGGUUUUCACAAACUUACACCUAACGAACGCUUUAAAUUUGUAAAAUCAAACGCUUAUUGUGUUAACUGUUUAAGUAUGAGGCAUCGCUUAUUUAAUUGCAAUUCUAAAAUGCAAUGUCGUAAAUGUCAAUUGAAACAUCACACUAUGUUGCAUUUUGAUAAUAAUUCCGCAUCGAGAGUGUGUGCAGUCGAUUCGCCGCUUACGCCUAUCGCGCCGCACACUAGUGUGACCGCGCGCGAAUACAAUAGCGAACGGCUCGGGGAGUCCGCUGCCGCGCCGGCCGCGCGGGCGCUCCCGCCCGCUACUACUCGCACCGACGAUGUUGCGCUGUGCGCUCUCUCGCACAAUAAUAUUCCGCCAGUGCCUAGCACUGUUUUACUCGCUACUGCGCGCGUUGUUAUUGUUGACGCUCAUGGAGUUGAACAUUAUGUUCGUGCUUUAUUAGAUAGCGCUUCUCAAAGUAAUUUUAUUACUAGUGUGUGUUGCGACCGUUUAGGAUUAAAUUGUCGUAAAGAACAACGGUGCGCUGUUAAAGGUAUAGGAGGUGCCGCUAAAUUUACCCAGGGUUCCGUGAAUAUUAAAUUCUUUUCUCGUUUUAAUAAAAAUAUUAAUUUUGAUAUGGAGUCAUUGGUAGUGGAUAAGGUGACCGAAUUAUUGCCGACCGUCUCGGUUGAUACUUCGCUGCUGACUUAUUUAAACGACUUACCUCUGGCUGACGAUACUUACGCCGUCCCUGGCGAGAUUGACUUAUUAGUUGGCGCUUCUAUUUUCCCUCACCUUUUGUUGUCGCACAAGGUCCAAGGACAACCCGCUCGCGUCGCUCCACAUGCAUUAGAGACCGUAUUAGGAUACGUAAUCUUAGGUUCCGCGCCCGCAUUUAAUCAUACUUGCGCGUCAGUUUCGUACUGCUGUGCAGUUGAGCCGCUAGAAUCGGUGAUUCGAAAGUUCUGGGAGUUGGAAGAAGUGGUAGUUCCACCCAUUCUAAGUCCUGAUGAUAAGGAGUGUGAAGAAAUUUAUACUCGCACUACCACCCGCGAAGAUGAUGGUCGUUAUACCGUCGCGCUUCCCUUUAAAGGGGAUGUAUUUAGUCUCGGCAAUUCUCGACGAAUAGCUGAGAAAUGUUUUUUCUGUUUAGAACGGAGAAUGCAGGCUUCGCCUAAAUUAAAGCAAGCCUAUGAUGAUGUCAUACACGAAUAUUUACAAAAGGGUUAUAUCGCAAUCGCACCUCCGGACAUAGGUGAUAUUAAUACCGCUCCGUCAUAUAUUAUACCGCACCAUGGGGUUAUUAGGGAGGAUAAGCUUACCUCUAAACUACGAGUCGUGCUUAAUGGUAGCGCAAAAACUAGCACAUCGGUUUCCCUUAACGAUAUUCUUCAUAGUGGACCCAAUCUACAGAGCAACUUAUUUAAUAUUAUUUUUAACUUUCGUUUAUUUGCCGUAGCCCUUUCAGCGGAUAUUAGACAAAUGUUUCUUUGUAUAAAUAUACGCGAGUGCGACCGUAGAUUUCAACGCAUUUUAUAUCGUUUUACGCCUGAGGAACCCCUGCAGGUUUAUCAGUUUAACCGCGUCUGUUUCGGUCUUAAGUCUAGUCCGUAUCACGCGCUUCGGACGAUAAGGCAACUUGCGUCAGAUGAAGGCGAUUCAUUUCCUAAAGCUCGGGAAAUUAUUGAAACCGGGUUAUAUAUGGAUGACUUUGUUUACUGCGUCGACAGUGAAGAUGAAGCCAUCUCCACCGCCGCUCAGGUUAUUUCUCUUAUGAAGGCCGGGCAGUUCGAUCUCGUAAAGUGGACGAGCAAUUCGCAAACUGUAUUAGAUUCUAUUCCGCCCUCACAUCGUCUUUCAUCCGUAAAGGAGUUUGAUGAUUGUGAUUCGCAUAAAAUUCUCGGUCUGUGUUGGUCACCUAGGUCAGAUUCAUUUAGUUUAAAAAUUUCUGCACCAGACGAGACAUGUACGAAGCGUACCAUACUUUCCUGUGUUGCGCGAUUAUGGGAUUUAAUGGGGUUUGUAGCUCCGGUAAUAUUAUAUGCCAAGCUCCUCAUUAAGGAACUUUGGUUAAUUAAUUGUGAUUGGGACGAGGUCCCACCUGAGAACAUUAUUAAGUUGUGGCAGCGCUUCAGGGAGGAACUUCCCAUUCUUGAAUCACUUAAGAUACCACGCCAUGUGGAUAUUAGGCCGACUAGUGUAGUGAACGUCAUUGGCUUCGCUGACGCAAGUGAGAAAGCUUACGGCGGCGUUGUAUAUUUUCACGUCGAAAAUGAUGGCGUUAACACAGUUCAUCUAAUCUGCGCAAAGUCUAAAGUUGCGCCUCGCAAAGUUGUAUCACUCGCUCGGCUUGAAUUGUGUGCCACAUUAGUUCUCGCGAAAUUAAUAAGUAGCAUCAUUGACGCUUGUAAUAAACGCCACAAUAUUAAUAAAGUAUACGCGUUCUCAGAUUCCACAGUCGCUUUAUGUUGGAUUCACUCCUCGCCGCACAGGUGGGAUACGUUCGUGGCUAAUAGAGUUUCUAAAAUUCAAUCUUUGUUACCUCCGCAAAACUUUUAUCAUGUGCCCGGUAUAGACAACCCAGUGGAUUGUCUAUCUAGGGGACUUUCUCCCGCACAAAUUCUUAAUCAUCCGCUUUGGUUUCAUGGUCCGUCCUGGACAUCGUGUAGUCCGUCGGAAUGGCCCAUUUCCGCUUUCGAACCGUCUACGGUUUCAGAACCGCCAGAAGAGAAGAAACACGCUUUAGUCGCUUCGAUUCCGCGUCAAGAAUCGGUAAUUAUUGACUUGGCCAAUAAGUUUUCCUCUUGGUCCAAGUUUUUACGCUGCGUUGUAUACGUUUGUCGCUUUUCGAAAUUAUUACCCUUGCGUGAUAAUAUUUCCGCUUCAGAUUUAAAUUUCGCAGAAAAUAUAGUUGUUCGGGAAUUACAAAAAAUGUUUUUCCGAGAUGAGUUAGUUAAACUACAAGCCGGAAGGAUUUGUAGUCGUACUUUUCAACGACUUAAGCCAUUUUUACACAAUGGUCUUAUCCGCGUAGGUGGUCGUUUAAGCCACUCUGAUUUAAAAUUUGAUCAAAUGCAUCCCAUUGUUUUACCGCGCAAGCAUCAUAUUUUAAAUUUAUUGGUUGAUUAUCACCAUAAAGUUAAUUGUCACGCUGGUCCCGACCUACUUAUGUCUCUCCUGCGUCAGAAGUAUUGGAUACUCUCUGCACGCAGCUUAAUUAGAAAUAGGGUACAUAAUUGUCUUCCUUGUUUUCGUCUUCGUCCGAAACAAAUAUUUCCGGAGAUGGCAGAACAUAGGCCUUGUCGAGUAUUAGAAUCCGCAAAACCGUUUGUACACACGGGUACUGAUUACGCAGGUCCAUUCAAGGUCACCCUCACUCGCGGUCGUGGUGUUCGUGCCACCAAGGCAUACGUUUGUCUUUUUGUUUGUUUAACAACUCGCGCUGUACACAUUGAACUCGCCGGCGAUUUAAGUACCGCUAGUUUUCUAGCCGCGUUUAAACGUUUUCUUUCGCGUCGCGGUCCCAUCAGUAGAAUGUAUUCGGACAAUGGGACGAAUUUUAUCGGUGCCAAGCGUACGAUGACGGAACAUCAGAAAUUUCUGAGGUCUAAAUAUUUUAAGACCGAAUUUGGUCACAUAUUGAGUGAAAAUCGGAUCGAUUGGUCUCUGAAUGUACCGACUGCGAGUCAUUUUGGAGGCAAUUGGGAGGCUAACAUCAAGAGCCUCAAAUCACAUUUAUUCCGCGUAAUAGGCGAGCAAAUUCUUACUUUUGAAGAGUUGAGUACCGUACUCACUCAGGUAGAAGCAGUAAUGAAUACCAGGCCUUUGUACCGCACUUUAUCUAGUGACCCGUCAGAACCACUAGCUUUAACUCCAGCCCAUUUCUUAAAUUUCACCCCGCUUAAAUUUUUACCGACCAAGGAAAUUACUGAUAAUCGACUUAAUAUGCUUUCGCGUCAUGAUUUACUUGACAAAUUGUUACAAUCCUUCUGGAAGCGAUGGAGAGCAGAAUAUCUGCAUACAUUGCAAUCUCGCGUUAAAUGGAAUACGCCUUCCAACCCUAUUCAAACAGGGACCGUAGUUAUUUUAAAAACAGAUAACGCACCGCCUCUUCACUGGCCUCUUGGGCUCGUUGAAGAAGUAUUUCCGGCGACUGAUGGCGUGACUCGCGUCGUCCGCGUUAAAACCGCGACCGGGUCGUAUUUACGUCCAGUUGUUCGUUUAUGUCCUUUGCCCAACCAAUAAUAUAUAAAAUUCGCAUUUAAAUAAUUUAACUUUAAUUUAGUUUUUGUUUUGAAGCCGUCCCUUCAAGCCCGGGGGGAAUGGUUGCGCCAUAUUUCUAAUUCAUUCUUUAUAAAUUUUAACUUCGCAUUUCCGGUCGCGUCAAUCCCAAUGAUGUCUUUUUUAUUAAUAAUUAGGUGAUACGACACGUACAUUUCCUUACCGCAUCCCUUUCCCGCACAUACCUUUCCAGCGAGCGAGAGCGAGAGCGCUUCGCUGGGAAUUGGUUCCGCGAGUGCCCGCGCGCCGUACGGGGUGCGGGUGCAAAAAACACUUUUUGUUCGCGCCCCGCAAUGACAUGGACACGAUGACGUCGCUCGCAUAAUUAAUUGAAAAUUAUCGGUCUGUGAUGUUAUUUCCUUAAUUAACUUCGUGUGACUGUGCAUAUCAUAGAUAGUGAAGUUUAGUAUAAGUGGUCGCCGCAAGCAGAAACACGAAGCCGCCAGCAUCAACCAGCCGAACCGCCGCCGCAGACGCCGUGGUAGUUCUAUGGUGCCUACUCCUGGCCGUGGCUGCUGAGGAGGCGCCUCCAGGACUCGUCUCCAAGGACAGCGAACAAGACCUCGUCGCAGAAGCGUCGCAUACAGGAACCCAGACACAGAAGCGGGAAGCGGGUGGACUGUCAAAUUCGUACGGGGAGCCGCUCCCGCCGGACGCGUAUGGCCCUCCACGGGAGAUAUCUAAUAUAA
Molecule: unclassified non-coding RNA, 6227 nt
Filed under: Manduca sexta (tobacco hornworm)
Lineage: Eukaryota; Metazoa; Arthropoda; Insecta; Lepidoptera; Sphingidae
Description: uncharacterized LOC115451040, transcript variant X4
Source: RNAcentral